UGAAGAAGAAGAUUACUUAUCCCCGUAAAGUGCGACCAGAAAGCUACUGUCAGUCACAUUAUUCAAAUGCUCGACUCGUUCAACGCUUCCCACUCUCCAAUGGCCGAAAACGCAGUCUCAUCCAACUUCCCGUAUUCCGUCAACGUUAACGGCGAUUUCCCCAAUGAUUGUUUACCGCCGGAUCCGCUGUUACAGUCCGGCACCUACAUCCACGCCGAUUCAAACGCAACCGUUGAGACCACACCGGAGAGGAGCCUACUAGAUGAACCGCACGUGUCCGAUCCAAUGCCGGCGGCGCCGGCGAUGGAAAGUACGGCGGAGAUUCAAACGGUGUCGCCCGAGCUGGUAACGCCUAAGCGGCGGCAGAAUAAAUCGGUGGAGGUCACGUCGGAGAGGCCGAGCUGGUUGCCUGAGAAUUGGAAGAUUGAAAUGAGAGUUCGGACCUCUGGCGCUACGGCUGGAUCUACUGAUAGAUACUUUUUUGAACCAGUGUCGGGGCGUAAAUUCCGGUCAAAAGUUGAGGUGCUUUAUUUCCUGGAAACAGGUGGCAAGCGCAAGAAGGGAAACACUGGCAAUGAAGCUACACCAUCUGAAACCUCUAAGAGCCAAAAACAGAAGAAGGGUGGCUCAAAAACACAGAAAAUUACCUCUUUUUACUUCGAUUCUGGGAAUCCACCACAUAGUGUAUGCUGGGUUCAGACGGAUGGUUUUGCAGAUACCUGGGCACCUUCUUGUAACGGUGGCAUGAUUCCUGAACGCAGAAGACAAGAAUGGGAUGCUGUCUUCUCAAGUGUAUCCCAGCUACGGCGAAGAAAUGUGUAAAUUUUUUGUUAGGGAUAUAGGAGGCUCUAACUUGCACUAACCAGUUCACACGCUUUCUCCAUAUGUCUAUCGUGUGUCAAAUCUCAUCUGAAUUGGCCUUACUUCUUGGGUUUUAGUGCAGAGACUGCAUAGUUCAUACCUUUUUGUUUGCCAAAGGAGUAGGCAAAAGUUGCUCACCUAAAUUAUGUUCAAGAUGUAGUAUGGUUUUCGGUUUUGUCCAACGGAUGAAGAGCUGAUAUCGUAUUACCUGAAGAAGAAACUUGAAGGGUCUGAUAAAUGUGUUGAAGUU
Non-coding RNA from Nicotiana tabacum (common tobacco), 1111 nucleotides. The record is from RefSeq and is a predicted model, not a curated record. Lineage: Eukaryota; Viridiplantae; Streptophyta; Magnoliopsida; Solanales; Solanaceae.